GAUGCAACGCGAAGAACCUUACCAAGGCUUGACAUAUACGAGAACGGGCCAGAAAUGGUCAACUCUUUGGACACUCGUAAACAGGUGGUGCAUGGUUGUCGUCAGCUCGUGUCGUGAGAUGUUGGGUUAAGUCCCGCAACGAGCGCAACCCUCGUUCUAUGUUGCCAGCACGUAAUGGUGGGAACUCAUGGGAUACUGCCGGGGUCAACUCGGAGGAAGGUGGGGAUGACGUCAAAUCAUCAUGCCCCUUAUGUCUUGGGCUUCACGCAUGCUACAAUGGCCGGUACAAAGGGCUGCAAUACCGUGAGGUGGAGCGAAUCCCAAAAAGCCGGUCCCAGUUCGGAUUGAGGUCUGCAACUCGACCUCAUGAAGUCGGAGUCGCUAGUAAUCGCAGAUCAGCAACGCUGCGGUGAAUACGUUCCCGGGUCUUGUACACACCGCCCGUCAAGUCAUGAAAGUCGGUAACACCUGAAGCCGGUGGCCUAACCCUUGUGGAGGGAGCCGUCGAAGGUGGGAUCGGUAAUUAGGACUU
Molecule: ribosomal RNA, 532 nt
Filed under: Microbacterium sp. NASA2-42
Lineage: Bacteria; Bacillati; Actinomycetota; Actinomycetes; Micrococcales; Microbacteriaceae
Description: bacterial SSU rRNA
Rfam family: Bacterial small subunit ribosomal RNA
Source: RNAcentral